GAUGAACGCUGGCGGCGUGCCUAAUACAUGCAAGUCGAGCGAACGGAUAAGGAGCUUGCUCCUUUGAAGUUAGCGGCGGACGGGUGAGUAACACGUGGGUAACCUACCUAUAAGACUGGAAUAACUUCGGGAAACCGGAGCUAAUGCCGGAUAACAUUUGGAACCGCAUGGUUCUAAAGUAAAAGAUGGUUUUGCUAUCACUUAUAGAUGGACCCGCGCCGUAUUAGCUAGUUGGUAAGGUAACGGCUUACCAAGGCAACGAUACGUAGCCGACCUGAGAGGGUGAUCGGCCACACUGGAACUGAGACACGGUCCAGACUCCUACGGGAGGCAGCAGUAGGGAAUCUUCCGCAAUGGACGAAAGUCUGACGGAGCAACGCCGCGUGAGUGAUGAAGGUUUUCGGAUCGUAAAACUCUGUUAUUAGGGAAGAACAAAUGUGUAAGUAACUGUGCACAUCU
Molecule: ribosomal RNA, 459 nt
Filed under: uncultured bacterium
Lineage: Bacteria
Description: bacterial SSU rRNA
Rfam family: Bacterial small subunit ribosomal RNA
Source: RNAcentral